CGUAAUUGCCGGCUCAGUUGAAAUACACGAGCAACCCAUUUGAAAUAAACGGCUUGACUCGGCGUAAUAAUUAUUCGCUGAGGACGUUUUCUUCAAAAGUAAGAGGUGCUUCUAAUGCGCUUUUAUAGCAUUUAUAUUUUAGACCUCAAAUCAGUCAGGACUACCCGCUGAACUUAAGCAUAUCAAUAAGCGGAGGAAAAGAAACUAACAAGGAUUCCCCUAGUAACGGCGAGUGAAGUGGGAAAAGCUCAACUUUGAAAUCUGGUACUUUCAGUAUCCGAAUUGUAGUCUCAAGAAGUGUUUUCUGUGCUGGUCCAUGUAUGAGUCUGUUGGAACACAGCGUCAUAGAGGGUGACAACCCCGUUCAUGACAUGGAUACCAGUGCUUUGUGAUACACUCUCGAAGAGUCGAGUUGUUUGGGAAUGCAGCUCAAAUUGGGUGGUAAAUUCCAUCUAAAGCUAAAUAUUGGCGAGAGACCGAUAGCAAACAAGUACCGUGAGGGAAAGAUGAAAAGCACUUUGGAAAGAGAGUUAACAGUACGUGAAAUUGUUGAAAGGGAAACGAUUGAAGUCAGACGUGCGUGAUGCGGUUCAGCUCUGGUUCGCCAGAGUGUACUCCGUAUCUUUGCAGGCCAACAUCGGUUUUGUUAGUCGGAUAAAGGUUUGAGAAAUGUGGCAUCUUCGGAUGUGUUAUAGUCUCAGACUGAAUACGAUUGAUGGGACCGAGGAACGCAGCGCGCCGCAAGGCAAAGGU
RNAcentral lists this ribosomal RNA (753 nucleotides) under Cystobasidium pinicola. Its description in RNAcentral is "eukaryotic LSU rRNA". The stretch from base 141 to 753 matches the Rfam family "Eukaryotic large subunit ribosomal RNA", at positions 1 to 617 of the family's 3401-position model. The record is from RNAcentral. Lineage: Eukaryota; Fungi; Basidiomycota; Cystobasidiomycetes; Cystobasidiales; Cystobasidiaceae.